CAGUAGCCACGGUAAUACAGAGGAUGCAAGCGUUAUCCGGAAUGAUUGGGCGUAAAGCGUCUGUAGGUGGCUUUUCAAGUCCGCCGUCAAAUCCCCGGGCUCAACCCUGGACAGGCAGUGGAAACUACCAGGCUGGAGUAAGGUAGGGGCAGAGGGAAUUUCUGGUGGAGCGGUGGAAUGUGUUGAGAUCAGAAAGAACAACAAUGGCUAAAGCACUCUGCUGGGCCGACAUUGACACUGAGAGACGAAAGCAAGGGGAGAAAAUUAGAUUAGAUACCCCUGUAGUCCCUGUCUCUUAUAA
This 301-nucleotide ribosomal RNA is filed under the name uncultured bacterium. RNAcentral describes it as "partial 16S ribosomal RNA". It matches the Rfam family "Bacterial small subunit ribosomal RNA", at positions 509 to 809 of the family's 1533-position model. The record is from RNAcentral.